Molecule: ribosomal RNA, 484 nt
Filed under: uncultured bacterium
Lineage: Bacteria
Description: partial 16S ribosomal RNA
Rfam family: Bacterial small subunit ribosomal RNA
Source: RNAcentral
AUUGAACGCUGGCGGCAGGCCUAACACAUGCAAGUCGAGCGGAUGAAGGGAGCUUGCUCCUGGAUUCAGCGGCGGACGGGUGAGUAAUGCCUAUGAAUCUGCCUGGUAGUGGGGGAUAACGUCCGGAAACGGGCGCUAAUACCGCAUACGUCCUGAGGGAGAAGGAGGGGGAGCUUCGGACCUCACGCUAUCAGAUGAGCCUAGGUCGGGUUAGCUAGUUGGUGGGGUAAUGGCCUACUAAGGCGACGAUCCGUAACUGGUCUGAGAGGAUGAUCAGUCACACUGGAACUGAGACACGGUCCAGACUCCUACGGGAGGGAGCAGUGGGGAAUAUUGGGCAAUGGGCGAAAGCCUGAUCCAGCCAUGCCGCGUGUGUGAAGAAGGUCUUCGGAUUGUAAAGCACUUUAAGUUGGGAGGAAGGGCAGUAAGUUAAUACCUUGCUGUUUUGACGUUACCAACAGAAGAAGCACCGGCUAACUACGUG